Molecule: long non-coding RNA, 2016 nt
Organism: Oryctolagus cuniculus (rabbit)
Lineage: Eukaryota; Metazoa; Chordata; Mammalia; Lagomorpha; Leporidae
Source: Ensembl
CCUGCAUUUCUUUGCCUGAAAGGAGAAUAAAAGGAAAUCAAGGAUAUGUUGAAUAUAUCAAAGGGCAACACUUCUUUCUUCCCUCGCCUAUCUUUCCACCUCCAGUGCAUUGUCCACAAGGGACACGGCAUAGGAUGUGCUUUGAACUCAUACAGCUAGAAAGAGCAGGAGGAAUGGCAACAGGAUCCUAUACAAGCCCUUGGUCAUCACAGGGUACUACUCAGAUGGGUCUGGGCUGAGGUGACCAACUUGUGUCAGUUUCCUUUGGACUUUCCCAGUUUUAGCAAUGAAAAGUGUGUGUCUUGAACAAGUUGUGAUCAGUGGAAACCUCACUGCAUCGCCCAAACACAACUCUGAGUGUCUACUAUGUGUUCAGAGACCCUUAAGGCCACUUAUGGCCUGGCCAGCCAGUCCUCUAGCCUGUCCUCAUCUGCAUUUGUCUUUCUUAUGUUUACACAAGCUGUUCAAGGUUGCCCCCUCAUUAAUGAUUUCACAUUCAUGCCUGGCCUUAGUUGUCCUGAAUGUUUGACCCUCUGUUAAUUUGAUUUUAUUCUCUGACAUGACCUUGGGCUUCUAUAGCUACAAGAUGAAAAUGCUCUUUGGAGUGACAAUGAAAAUGGGAUGUGAGUAAAUUCUUAGGAACUCAAUGACUUACAGCAGAAAAGUAUGGAAUGCAGGGGUAGAAAGGUGGGGCUGGGCCCUGCUACAGCAUGCAGAGUGUGCCCAUGGAUUUGCACAAAUGCUGCUAAAAUGCCAAAAGCAGGUGUUUCUUUUUUUCUUCAGUGUGAGCUUCAAGCUAAUAUGGGCAUUCAGCUAAAUGCCACCCAGGUGCUGAAACAGUAUGUGGUUUUAGGAUUUCAGAGGUAAUUAUUGCUGAACGCACUGUAUGGCCAGUGCACCUGCUAGGUAGAUGCUAUGAAGAAGUGUGCAAGGAGCACUAGGCAAACUUGGAGGACAAUCUCUCCACCACAAGGCCCCUUCCAAAGCUUACUAUGGCCAUCAAAAGCAAGACAUGGAGCUGAACAUAUUUAUAAGAUUAUUGGGAACACACAUGACAGGGGAGGAGUUAAGAAUUCUAGUAACUGGUCUCUGAAGUCCAUGCUGCUAUGUCCUGGUUCAUGCUCUGUCUCUUCCCACUGGAAUGUCAAUAUCCAUGGUGAGAUAUCUUACCUGAUGGCUUGGUUGAUAGAGCUAAACCAAUAGGCUGGGUAGGUAUCCCUUCCUCCUCUAUGUCCAGGUGAAUGCUUCUUUAGUCAAAGCAAAGAACCAGGGUGGGUGUUUGGCAGAAUAGUUACAAUGUCACUUGGGAUGCAUACAUUCUGUAUCCAAGUGCCUUGGUUCAAGUCCCAGCUCCUACACCAUUCUCACUUCCUGCUAAUGUGCACCCUGACAGCAGGUGGUAGUUCACAAAGGAGACCUGGAUCACGUUCCUAGCUCCUGAUGUCAUUUGACCUGGUCUCUGCUGUUGGGGACAUAUAAGGGGUGAAACAGUAGAUGGGAUACCUCUCAAAUCUCUGCCUUUCAAGAAAACAAAAUAGUGAGAAAAUUAAAAAGCAGAGAACCACUAAAAGAGGCACUGAGUUUCUUCUAGAAGUGCUACUUCCCAUGGUUCUGACAUCCCUCUCUCCUGGUUUUCUUCCAAACUUUUCUCCUCAGCUGGGAGGUGGAAUCCUGUGUGUUUCUCUCCUUUGUGCUUAUCCAUCAGGAGAUGAAGAUGCUGCAUAGCAAACCACCCUGUAUGUGUAGUGCUUUACAACUGUUACACUGAUGCCCACAGUCUGAUUGUAUGUCUUUCGUGCAUCUCUGGUAGGUAAAUUUCCCCUGGAGUCAUAUGUGUGUAUGAGUGAGUGUGUGUGUGUGUGUGUCUUGUAUCAUGUUCUAAUUUGAACACUCUCUAACCCUGACUUUCAUCAUAUGAAAACUGAUCUAUGUCAUUAUAUCACAGUAGAGGCUACAAAAGACCAAUAAUAUUAGUGUGUAGAAAUAAUUUCUAGAAUAAAAACAUCAAUUUAUUCA